AGAGCAGGGUAAGCCGACCCCUAAGGCGAGGCCGAAAGGCGUAGUCGAUGGGAACCAGGUUAAUAUUCCUGGGCCAGGAAGUAGUGACGGAUCUCGAGGGUAGUUCAUCCUUAUCGGAUUGAAUGGGCUGCUUAGAGGUUCCUGGAAAUAGCUCUUCCGCUAGAUCGUACCCUAAACCGACACAGGUGGACUGGUAGAGAAUACCAAGGCGCUUGAGAGAACGAUGUUGAAGGAACUCGGCAAAAUACCUCCGUAAGUUCGCGAGAAGGAGGCCCCGUUAGGACGCAAGUCUUGGCGGGGGGCACAAACCAGGGGGUGGCGACUGUUUACUAAAAACACAGGGCUCUGCGAAGUCGCAAGACGACGUAUAGGGUCUGACGCCUGCCCGGUGCCGGAAGGUUAAAAGGAGAGGUGCAAGCCUUGAAUUGAAGCCCCGGUAAACGGCGGCCGUAACUAUAACGGUCCUAAGGUAGCGAAAUUCCUUGUCGGGUAAGUUCCGACCUGCACGAAUGGCGUAACGACUUCCCCGCUGUCUCCAACAUAGACUCAGCGAAAUUGAAUUACCGGUCAAGAUGCCGGUUACCCGCGGUUAGACGGAAAGACCCCGUGCACCUUUACUACAACUUCACACUGGCAUUAGGCCGAACAUGUGCAGGAUAGGUGGUGGGCUUUGAAGCGUGGACGCCAGUCUGCGUGGAGCCUCCCUUGAGAUACCACCCUUGUUCUGCUUGAUGUCUAACCGCGGUCCGUUAUCCGGAUCCGGGACCCUGUGUGGUGGGUAGUUUGACUGGGGCGGUCGCCUCCUAAAUCGUAACGGAGGCGCGCGAAGGUUGGCUCAGAGCGGUCGGAAAUCGCUCGUUGAGUGCAAUGGCAGAAGCCAGCCUGACUGCGAGACUGACAAGUCGAGCAGAGUCGAAAGACGGCCAUAGUGAUCCGGUGGUCCCAAGUGGGAGGGCCAUCGCUCAACGGAUAAAAGGUACGCCGGGGAUAACAGGCUGAUACUGCCCAAGAGUCCAUAUCGACGGCAGUGUUUGGCACCUCGAUGUCGGCUCAUCUCAUCCUGGGGCUGGAGCAGGUCCCAAGGGUACGGCUGUUCGCCGUUUAAAGAGGUACGUGAGCUGGGUUUAGAACGUCGUGAGACAGUUCGGUCCCUAUCUUCCGUGGGUGUAGGAUACUUGAGAGGAGUUGCCCCUAGUACGAGAGGACCGGGGUGAACGAUCCACUGGUGGACCAGUUGUCAUGCCAAUGGCAGUGCUGGGUAGCUAUGAUCGGAAAGGAUAACCGCUGAAGGCAUCUAAGCGGGAAGCCCCCCUCAAAACAAGGUAUCCCUGAGAGCCGUGGUAGACCACCACGUCGAUAGGCCGGAGAUGUAAGCGCAGCAAUGCGUUCAGUUGACCGGUACUAAUUGCUCGAUAGGCUUGAUU
RNAcentral lists this ribosomal RNA (1424 nucleotides) under marine sediment metagenome. RNAcentral describes it as "bacterial LSU rRNA". It matches the Rfam family "Bacterial large subunit ribosomal RNA", at positions 1371 to 2925 of the family's 2925-position model. The record is from RNAcentral.